This 468-nucleotide ribosomal RNA is filed under the name uncultured bacterium. Its description in RNAcentral is "partial 16S ribosomal RNA". It matches the Rfam family "Bacterial small subunit ribosomal RNA", at positions 28 to 507 of the family's 1533-position model. The record is from RNAcentral.
GACGAACGCUGGCGGCGUGCUUAACACAUGCAGGUCGAACGGAAAGGCCCUGCUUUUGUGGGGUGCUCGAGUGGCGAACGGGUGAGUAACACGUGAGUAACCUGCCCUUGACUUUGGGAUAACUUCAGGAAACUGGGGCUAAUACCGGAUAGGAGCUCCUGCUGCAUGGUGGGGGUUGGAAAGUUUCGGCGGUUGGGGAUGGACUCGCGGCUUAUCAGCUUGUUGGUGGGGUAGUGGCUUACCAAGGCUUUGACGGGUAGCCGGCCUGAGAGGGUGACCGGCCACAUUGGGACUGAGAUACGGCCCAGACUCCUACGGGAGGCAGCAGUGGGGAAGAUUGCACAAUGGGCGGAAGCCUGAUGCAGCAACGCCGCGUGCGGGAUGACGGCCUUCGGGUUGUAAACCGCUUUCGCCUGUGACGAAGCGUGAGUGACGGUAAUGGGUAAAGAAGCACCGGCUAACUACGUG